This 85-nucleotide transfer RNA is filed under the name Lynx canadensis (Canada lynx). It matches the Rfam family "tRNA". From Rfam's summary of the family: Transfer RNA (tRNA) molecules are approximately 80 nucleotides in length. Lineage: Eukaryota; Metazoa; Chordata; Mammalia; Carnivora; Felidae. The record is from Rfam by way of RNAcentral.
CCCUGGGUGGCUCAGUCGGUUGAGCAUCUGACUUUGGCUCAGGUCAUGAUCUCAUGGUUUGUGAGUUCAAGCCCCACUUUGGGCU